RNAcentral lists this ribosomal RNA (301 nucleotides) under uncultured bacterium. Its description in RNAcentral is "partial 16S ribosomal RNA". It matches the Rfam family "Bacterial small subunit ribosomal RNA", at positions 509 to 807 of the family's 1533-position model. The record is from RNAcentral.
CAGCCGCCGCGGUAAUACGUAGGUGGCAAGCGCUGUCCGGAAUUAUUGGGCGUAAAGGGCUCGCAGGCGGUUUCUUAAGUCUGAUGUGAAAGCCCCCGGCUCAACCGGGGAGGGUCAUUGGAAACUGGGAAACUUGAGUGCAGAAGAGGAGAGUGGAAUUCCACGUGUAGCGGUGAAAUGCGUAGAGAUGUGGAGGAACACCAGUGGCGAAGGCGACUCUCUGGUCUGUAACUGACGCUGAGGAGCGAAAGCGUGGGGAGCGAACAGGAUUAGAUACCCCUGUAGUCCCUGUCUCUUAUAC